UACGAAGGGGGCUAGCGUUGCUCGGAAUCACUGGGCGUAAAGGGUGCGUCGGCGGGUCUUUAAGUCAGGGGUGAAAUCCUGGAGCUCAACUCCGGAACUGCCUUUGAUACUGAGGAUCUUGAGUUCGGGAGAGGUGAGUGGAACUGCGAGUGUAGAGGUGAAAUUCGUAGAUAUUCGCAAGAACACCAGUGGCGAAGGCGGCUCACUGGCCCGAUACUGACGCUGAGGCACGAAAGCGUGGGGAGCAAACAGG
Molecule: ribosomal RNA, 253 nt
Filed under: uncultured bacterium
Lineage: Bacteria
Description: partial 16S ribosomal RNA
Rfam family: Bacterial small subunit ribosomal RNA
Source: RNAcentral